This is a long non-coding RNA of Strongylocentrotus purpuratus (purple sea urchin), 1267 nucleotides long. RefSeq lists it as uncharacterized. Lineage: Eukaryota; Metazoa; Echinodermata; Echinoidea; Camarodonta; Strongylocentrotidae. The record is from RefSeq and is a predicted model, not a curated record. The transcript is spliced from 2 exons.
AUCAUCCCGUUCAGCUCAUCUCACAAGCAAACAACAUUCAAGAGAAGCCCGCCAGCCAAACAGACUCAUCAUCCCCGUUCAGUUCAUCUCACAAGCAAACGACAUUCCAGAGAAGCCCGCCAGCCAAACAGACUCAUCAUCCCCGUUCAGCUCAUGUCACAAGGAAACAACAUUCAAGAGAAGCCCGCCAGCCAAACAGACUCAUCAUCCCCGUUCAGCUCAUCUCACAAGCAAACAACAUUCAAGAGAAGCCCGCCAGCCAAACAGACUAAUCAUCCCCAUUCAGCUCAUCUCACAAGGAAACAUCUGACAAUGUGAGGACUGCAAGCUAGCUCCAAUAAGUGGUUCAAGAAAAGCACAUUUACCAAGGACAUGACAGAGAGAAAAGCAGAGGAGAAGAAGAUUUUCACUGCCUACCCCCACCUCCCGGAGAUGUUUAAAUCAGAAAACGAGGAAAUCUCAAACACCUGACACAGCACAGGGCAAGCCAAGCCUACAGGACAAGGUAGAUACAAUGGGCAAGUGAAGCAUUUAGAUAUAGGCAAGGCAAGAUCUGUUAGGGUGACCCACAAGUCAAGUCAGUGUGACCCAUUUUCUAUCUAUCAUUUCUAUGAUGUGAUUUUUAAAACUGACCCUGCCCAACCCAUUUUGUCUCUCCUGCCUUGAGGCAUUUUUGUUGGGGGUGGUUUGAAGAGUUGUAAUAUUAUCCUCCCGUGAGUUUAAUACAAACAAAUGAUGUAUAAAUUAACAAAUGAGGAAUCUAUGAAAGACACUUGACACAGCACAGAGCAAGCCACGCCUACAGGACAAAACAGAUACUAUGGUCAAGUGCAGACUUUAGCCUCUCCUCAGUUGAUAACAAAGGUAGAAACUAGUAGAAGUCUCUUUGUGAUUCUACUUUUUAGGCUUGUAGAAGGCUUGCUUUAUAAUCUUGAAUGAGAUCAGGAAAUAUAUAGGGUAAAUAAAGUAUUCAUGUUUCUUCUAUACAAUUUUCAAAUGCAACAAUUCUGAUUCCAUUAUUUUUUUUAAAAGGUAAUGAGUUUUGAGUUUUGAAAAUCUUUUGAAGGCCUACAUUUUUUCUCAUAUCAUAUGAAGCAUGUUUCCCACUCAUAUUAUGUGAAGCAAGUAUUAGAUUAUUCUUAUCCCAUUCAAAAAUAUUUUGUUGCUUUGGGAGAACAAUGGUGAUUUCAUGCAUAUAUAGGUAUGCUUUGUUAAACCACCUCGUGUAUACCUGGCAUGAAAACUAUUCAUUCUGAAAUGCAUGAGA